UAAUGAUGAGACCUUAACUGAAAGCUGGAAUUACCGUCAGAUUUUCAGUGGUGAUAUUUCAAGUUUCUGAAA
Engraulis encrasicolus (European anchovy) is the source of this 72-nucleotide small nucleolar RNA. NCBI's taxonomy places the organism in Eukaryota, Metazoa, Chordata, Actinopteri, Clupeiformes, Engraulidae. The record is from RefSeq and is a predicted model, not a curated record.